CACGUAGGGGCCAAGCGUUGUCCGGAUUUAUUGGGCGUAAAGAGCUCGUAGGCGGUUUGUCGCGUCGGCUGUGAAAACUCGGGGCUCAGCCCCGAGCCUGCAGUCGAUACGGGCAGACUAGAGUGCUGUAGGGGAGACUGGAAUUCCUGGUGUAGCGGUGAAAUGCGCAGAUAUCAGGAGGAACACCGGUGGCGAAGGCGGGUCUCUGGGCAGUAACUGACGCUGAGGAGCGAAAGCGUGGGGAGCGAACAGG
Molecule: ribosomal RNA, 253 nt
Filed under: uncultured bacterium
Lineage: Bacteria
Description: partial 16S ribosomal RNA
Rfam family: Bacterial small subunit ribosomal RNA
Source: RNAcentral